Molecule: ribosomal RNA, 913 nt
Filed under: uncultured archaeon
Lineage: Archaea
Description: bacterial SSU rRNA
Rfam family: Archaeal small subunit ribosomal RNA
Source: RNAcentral
UUCCGGUUGAUCCUGCCGGACUGACUGCUAUCGGAUUGAUACUAAGCCAUGCGAGUCAUUGUAGUAAUACAAGGCAGACGGCUCAGUAACGCGUAGUCAACCUAACCUAUGGACGGGAAUAACCUCGGGAAACUGAGUAUAUUGCCCGAUAGAACAUUAUACCUGGAAUGGUUUAUGUUCCAAAUGAUUUAUCGCCGUAGGAUGGGACUGCGGCCUAUCAGUUUGUUGGUGAGGUAAUGGCCCACCAAGACUAUUACAGGUACGGGCUCUGAGAGGAGUAGCCCGGAGAUGGGUACUGAGACACGGACCCAGGCCCUAUGGGGCGCAGCAGGCGAGAAAACUUUGCAAUGUGCGAAAGCACGACAAGGUUAAUCCGAGUGGUUUCUGCUAAAGGAACCUUUUGUCGGUCCUAGAAACACCGAUGAAUAAGGGGUGGGCAAGUUCUGGUGUCAGCCGCCGCGGUAAAACCAGCACCUCAAGUGGUCAGGAUGAUUAUUGGGCCUAAAGCAUCCGUAGCCGGCUCUGUUAGUUUUCGGUUAAAUCUGUACGCUCAACGUACAGGCUGCCGGGAAUACUGCAGAGCUAGGGAGUGGGAGAGGUAGACGGUACUCGGUAGGAAGGGGUAAAAUCCUUUGAUCUAUUGAUGACCACCUGUGGCGAAGGCGGUCUACCAGAACACGUCCGACGGUGAGGGAUGAAAGCUGGGGGAGCAAACCGGAUUAGAUACCCGGGUAGUCCCAGCUGUAAACUAUGCAAACUCAGUGAUGCAUUGGCUUGUGGCCAAUGCAGUGCUGCAGGGAAGCCGUUAAGUUUGCCGCCUGGGAAGUACGUACGCAAGUAUGAAACUUAAAGGAAUUGGCGGGGGAGCACCACAAGGGGUGAAGCCUGCGGUUCAAUUGGAGUCAACGCCGGA